Molecule: ribosomal RNA, 191 nt
Filed under: uncultured Enterobacter sp.
Lineage: Bacteria; Pseudomonadati; Pseudomonadota; Gammaproteobacteria; Enterobacterales; Enterobacteriaceae
Description: partial 16S ribosomal RNA
Rfam family: Bacterial small subunit ribosomal RNA
Source: RNAcentral
UUAGGGAGGCAGCAGUGGGGAAUAUUGCACAAUGGGCGCAAGCCUGAUGCAGCCAUGCCGCGUGUAUGAAGAAGGCCUUCGGGUUGUAAAGUACUUUCAGCGGGGAGGAAGGCGUUGAGGUUAAUAACCUCAGCGAUUGACGUUACCCGCAGAAGAAGCACCGGCUAACUCCGUGCCAGCAGCCGCGGUAA